This is a non-coding RNA of Pelobates cultripes (western spadefoot toad), 264 nucleotides long. NCBI's taxonomy places the organism in Eukaryota, Metazoa, Chordata, Amphibia, Anura, Pelobatidae. The record is from the annotation of a GenBank genome assembly.
GUGAUUAGUGACAGAGUGAGGGAGGGGGUAACACAGUGACAGAGUUAGGGAGGGAGUAACUAGUGACAGAGAGAGGGAUGGGGUGACUAGUGACAGUCACCCCCCCCCUCACUCUGUCACCAGUCAUCCCCUUACUCUGUCACUAGUCACCCCUUCCCUCCCUCACUCUGCCACUAGUCACCCAUUCCCUCACUCUGUCACUAGUCUCCCAUUGCCUCCCUCUGUCACUAGUCUCCCCCUCUCCUUCCCUCUGUCACUAGUCAC